UACGUAGGGGGCAAGCGUUGUCCGGAAUCAUUGGGCGUAAAGAGCGUGUAGGCGGCCCGAUAAGUCCGCCGUGAAAGUCCAGGGCUCAACCCUGGAAUGCCGGUGGAAACUGUCGGGCUGGAGUCCGGAAGAGGCGAGUGGAAUUCCUGGUGUAGCGGUGAAAUGCGCAGAUAUCGGGAGGAACACCAAUUGCGAAGGCAGCUCGCUGGGACGUCACUGACGCUGAGACGCGAAAGCGUGGGGAGCAAACAGG
Molecule: ribosomal RNA, 253 nt
Filed under: uncultured bacterium
Lineage: Bacteria
Description: partial 16S ribosomal RNA
Rfam family: Bacterial small subunit ribosomal RNA
Source: RNAcentral